CAGUCGCCGCGGUAAUACGUAGGUGGCAAGCGUUGUCCGGAAUUAUUGGGCGUAAAGGGCUCGCAGGCGGUUUCUUAAGUCUGAUGUGAAAGCCCCCGGCUCAACCGGGGAGGGUCAUUGGAAACUGGGAAACUUGAGUGCAGAAGAGGAGAGUGGAAUUCCACGUGUAGCGGUGAAAUGCGUAGAGAUGUGGAGGAACACCAGUGGCGAAGGCGACUCUCUGGUCUGUAUCUGACGCUGAGGAGCGAAAGCGUGGGGAGCGAACAGGAUUAGAUACCCCUGUAGUCCCUGUCUCUUAUAA
RNAcentral lists this ribosomal RNA (301 nucleotides) under uncultured bacterium. RNAcentral's name for it is "partial 16S ribosomal RNA". It matches the Rfam family "Bacterial small subunit ribosomal RNA", at positions 509 to 809 of the family's 1533-position model. The record is from RNAcentral.